CGGCGAAACCGCCUCCCCGGAGGCGGUCCACGGGAUUGGCAUUCCCGUGCUGAGGAUGCCUGCCGAGC
This 68-nucleotide non-coding RNA is filed under the name Saccharothrix sp. ALI-22-I. The record is from RNAcentral. Lineage: Bacteria; Bacillati; Actinomycetota; Actinomycetes; Pseudonocardiales; Pseudonocardiaceae.